AUGCCAUGGUGAGGGCAAUCGGCACAAAGCACCUUGAAUCUAUCCCAAUCUUGGUAAAAACUUUCAUCCUUAAGUUGUUGAAAGGCGGCAAUCCUUUGUCUUCCUUU
Molecule: small nucleolar RNA, 107 nt
Organism: Corchorus capsularis
Lineage: Eukaryota; Viridiplantae; Streptophyta; Magnoliopsida; Malvales; Malvaceae
Rfam family: Plant small nucleolar RNA R71
About the family: R71 is a member of the C/D box family of snoRNAs containing the C (UGAUGA) and D (CUGA) box motifs. Multiple nearly identical copies of this snoRNA have been identified in Arabidopsis, and it is thought to function as a 2'-O-ribose methylation guide for 18S ribosomal RNA.
Source: Rfam